Molecule: long non-coding RNA, 29108 nt
Filed under: Capsicum annuum
Lineage: Eukaryota; Viridiplantae; Streptophyta; Magnoliopsida; Solanales; Solanaceae
Description: long non-coding RNA (CANN_LNC022218)
Source: RNAcentral
CUCUUUCCAAUACACAAAUCACGGGAACACCCAUCGACCCAAAAACAGUUCCCUUUCUUUCUUCUCCCUCUCCUCCACCACUCCAAAGGCUGAACCCUAGCCAACAAACUCCAACUACCCCUGCGCAACCCAUUUUCCCCCCACCCCGAAAAUCCUUCGAAUCCACUGUAACUGUGAAAACAGGCACUAGAAAAGUCAAGAUUUGGUCAAGACCGCCAUUAAUGGCUUCAAAGCUGAAAAUUUGAUUUAGCAAUUUGAAAAUUUAAAAUCUCCCUCCUUUCCUUCCCUUUUUUAUUUUUUUUUAUUUUUAUUUUUUAUUUUUAGGUUUCAAAUCCGGACUUUCAAGUCCGGACUUGUAUCUAUAAAUAGAGAGGCUUCUCCAUCUCCAGGAACAGAGGGAAAAUUCGAGAGAAAAGGCAAAAAGGGAAUAAAUUCGUGCGAACGAAUUCGUGAAAAGGAAAAAGUCAGUAGAAAAAGCAGGUCAACCAGUCGAGAAACGGUGAAAACAAAAGGAGUGACGAAUCGAUAUUUCCAAGUCGGAGUCCGGUGGUUGAGUUAUCGUCGCCAAAAUUCUCAACGUGGAAGCCUCAGUUUUGCUGCCCCACACAAAGUGAAAUUCUAUCUCGUCUAAUUAAAUGUUAUUUAAUCAUCGCAAUCUAUUGAUCGUUUGAGUUUGUUGGUUGAUCCUGGAUAUGAAUGUGAAGUAAAUAACGUUGGUCUAUUUUCUCUGUUCAUGUUAAGUGGUGUAUAAUGGUUUGAAGUUUAAGUUUUCAAAUGACAUUAGAUAUUUUUUUGCUAGUUGCGGAUAAAAACUCAAACAGUAGUUUUCGUGCCAUUUGAUAUAUUUGGCGAUAAUCUUAUAGACUGUGGAACAAACUCGGUGGAGCUUUGCGUUUCAGGACAUGUGCUUGAUAGGUUGUUCGGGGUUCAUUUUGAUGUCGGUUUAGUUUUUUUUUACGGGGUAACGAUAGCUUGGUUAUACACCAGUUUGGUUUGUGUAUUCAUAAGUUACCGACGAUUUUAAUUUCAUGUGGAAAAGAGCUCCAAAAGGCUUGAAACCUUACAAUGCUGGGCUAUCCGUCACAAUAGUUGUAUACCUUUUGUCCUGAAUUCUCAAACAUGUGUAGAUAGUUGCCUUUCUUGCUCAACACAUGGCUGCCUCGGGUCUAAACGCAUGAAGUAUUUGAACUCUCACUUUGUUUGUUUACACUAUUUCAUCUCAUUCUGUUUCGUUUACCUCGAUUAUGAGAAUAUGCAAUUUCGCGUAAAGUUGAUGAAACUUGUGUUGUUGUCGUCGAUUCUGGAUAAGUGGGUUCAUAUGUUGUUGUUGCUGGUUUGAGAAGUGGAUUUGGCGGUGAACACGUGAACUUUGGCUUCAAAUCUGGUUAUGGUGUUAUUAUUCAUUGUCUGCAAAUCGACUUUACAAUGUGGUUUCAUUUAAAGCAAUAUGUAUGGCAGAUUCUGCAUUUUAUUUUCUAAAAUGUGAGUUGGCGGAAACAUGAAAAUAUGUACUGUCCAGUGAACACUCUUUGUCAAGAAUUGGAUCAAAAUAGUGUCAGAUAAUUUCAACAAAUGAGUUUGUCAGAUUUUUCAUGAUUAAAAUGGUGAAAACGCAUGCACAUAGAGCACCUUCAGUGUGCAAUUUUUAUGUUAAAAAAAUAAACGGACGUUAAAUAUAUUACACUGAAGGUGCUCUACUUUUAUGAGUCUUCAGUGAAUCUUUUACAUUUUAAGGAAAGUCUCAUUGAUAGUCAUGAGCCUUCUGUGAAUUUUACAUUUUGAAGAAAGACUCAUUCCUUUCAAUGCACCUUCAAUAUAAAUUUUAUUAUCUCAAAAUCUGAAAAACUGUCAUCGUUUGAAUUGAUGGGACAAUAGAAGACUAUUUUUUCACACACUAAAGACUCAUCUGUAUAACGCAUUUUCAGUCAAAUUACAAAAACACUCGACUUCAUCUAAAAUUUACUAAAAUAAGAGAAAGUUUCUAUCUUUACCUGAGGUUCCUCCUUCACCAUUGUCAUUUUCUUCAAGAUAAAGAAGACCCUACAAGCUUUAUUUAACAUACUAAAAAACAAAGCUUCACAAUAUUAUUUGAAAGAUAAAAUUUAGAACGUGAAUCAUCAUCCAAAUUAGAAAAAGAUAACUUUAUGCUCUCUUUUUUCUUACAUUAGUUGUAGUCACUUUUAGAAUUUGUAUAGUAAUCUUUCAUCACAUUUUUUUUAUUAUAAUAUUAUUGGACUACUAUUAUUGCUUUUUUUCUUAUAAAAUAGCCUAUAGAAUAUUUUUAUAAUUUGAUUUAUUUUAAGUGCUCUUAGAAAUCAGUUAACUUUAUUUUUAGUUCUAGUUUGACCUUUGUGAUUUUUAAUAAGCUAGUCUUGGUAAUGUCACUAUUUAGCUUUCCAUACUCAAUGAUUUUUGAAUUAAAAAAACACAUACUUUAUAUUUUAGGUCUUAUGACACCACCUACUGUGCAUUCGGGUUCAUUUAUUUCGAGUGUCUUUGUAGGACAGAUUAGUCAUCGUAGUGAAGAUAUUUGAAAUAAUGGCACAUGUGACACAUUGACAUGUCAUCGGUAUGAUGGUGACUUUUGGGACUACAUAAGUAGAAAUCCAUUACAUGAGUCUGUGUGUCGUUACUUGUUCGAUGCUGAAUUUUAUGGUAUAUAUGCAGCUGGACACACGCCACUUGAUCACGCUAUAAUCAUUGUGUUGGUAGAAAGAUAGCAAUCAGAAACACACACAUUUCAUUUAAACUUUGGAGAGGUCAUAAUUACAUUGUAGGAUGUAGCUAUAUUAUAUGGGCUGUCAGUCGAUGGGUUAUCUGUGACGGAAAUAGAUUUUACCUUGGACCCUACAGAGUGGCAAAUACAUAUGGUAGAUCUUUUUGGUUGGGCACCGGUAGAUAUUGAUUGAGAAUUUCAAGAUGAUAGAUUGCUUAUGACUUCUUUGAUUAAACGUAUUACAAAUCUUUCUUUGAUUACUGAUGCGAUUUGUGAGGUUGAUGUUCAACAACGGGUACGUUUGUACUUGUUGUGGAUCAUUGGAAGCAUGCUUGUCGUUGACACAUCGAGUAGAAAAGUUAAGUUGAUGUAUCUACAUUUGCUUGCGGAUUUAUUCAAAGUUCGUCAAUAUGCUUGGGGUGCAGCAACACUUGCAAUACUUUAUGGAUACCUUUAUCGUGCAUCGCAAAAAGGAAUUAGAGUCAUUGGUGAUUUCUUACCUUUACUUUACCAAUUGUAUUGGAGCAGGUUGGAUGAAGUGGAGGCUCGUCUCGGGGGUGUUGUGUGAUAAUAAAGUGCCCCUUAAGCUUAAAGGAAAAUUCUAUAUAGUGGCAGUCCGUCCGGCCAUGUUGUAUGGCGUGGAGUGUUGGCCAGUCAAUCACUCCCACAUAUAAAAAGUGAGGGUGGCGGAAAUGAGGAUGCUGCGUUGGAUGUGUGGGCUUACUAGAGGGGACAUGAUUAGGAAUGAGAUUAUCCGGGAGAAGAUGAUAGUGGCGUCGGUGGAAGAUAAGAUGCGGAAAGGAAGACUGAGAUAGUUUGGACAUGUGAUGAGGAGGGGCGCGAAUGCCCCAAUGCGUAGGUGUGAGAUACUAGCGUUGGAUGGCUUCAGGAGGAUUAGAGAUAAGCCGAAGAAAUACUGGAGGGAAGUGAUCAGACAUGACAUUGAGCAGCUGCAACUUACUGAGGAUAUGGCCCUAGAUAAGAAGGUGUGGAGGUCGCGGAUAAGGGUAGAAGGCUAGCGGGAGGGUGUGGGUUGUAGCAAGCCACUAGGAGAGAUCUUGUGUAGCCGGGUUAGUAACCUUAGGUCUGUGUCUAUAGGUGUCUAUGGCGGCGAGUAUAUGUUACUUAUACGUAGGUGUCCCUUUCAUAUUUUCUCAGCUGCUAUCUGCUUAUUUCGUGUUGCCGUAUCUCUUGUAUUUUCGUAUUUUCGUAUUGCUCUGAUUUACUUUUUAUUAUUCCUUACGCCCUUUCUGUUAUGUAAUCCAUCUCCUUGUCGCAUAUUCUUUAUCUUGAGCCAGGGGUCUAUCAGAAACAACCUCUCUACUUCUUCGGAGGUAGCAGUACGAACUGCGUACAUCUUACCCUCCCCAGACCCCACUUUGUGGGAACACACUGGGUUUGUUGUUGUUGUUGUAAUGCAUUUUUAAUAUUCAUUUAUUGUAUUUAUAUGAAUAUGUGAAUGUAUGGAUAUAUGAGAGGAUUUUGCCUCUCAGGCCUCAGAGAGAUCCUAAUCUCCUAGUUGACGAGUGGCUUAUUUCUAUCCUUCUAGGACCUCCACGUGCUCGUGUAUGGUCUAAUGGGUUAUGCCACGAUACAAAAUCACCUCACCUAUUAUAUUUAUUUUGUGAUCAACUAGAUUUACUUAUAGAAUAUCAGGUAUUUUUACUUUUGAAUAAUUGUUUUAUCUAUUUUUUUAAAAACUUUUUAAGCUGUAAAAACUAACUAAAUUUAUACGUAUAUAGUUUGUGUGACAGUCAUACAGCCCCGAUGUUUUUGCUAUAUUAUCAGAUUAUUGUGUGAAUGAUUCCAGUAUUUGGUAUGCUAUUGUACCCAUAAUAGCUUGGGAUGCAGUUGGGUGGCACUAUCAAUAGAAAUAACCGGUCUACAUCUUUUAAAACUUUUUAUACAAGGUUUAUAUUCCCAGAAUAUAUAUUUAAAAACAUUUACCUUUGAUGUUGAUUCAUCGGUAUGCAUCCAUUCCACUACCGUUCCUGGAUUAAAAUGUUGAUGUGCAUUCAUGUACAUUGAAAAUUGUGUGAAUGAGUGAUCAAAGUUACCAUGCCUUUUUGUAGGAAGUUGUAUGUUUUAAUUCAACCUCAACAGUAGUCUAGACAUCAAUCACCUUGAAUUGAGGGUUAUUCCUUAGGAAAGGUAGCAACAAAAAAGCAAUCAAUUUAGAAUCCAAGUUAAAAUGAUCAACUUGGAUUACACCCAUUUGAUUACACCCAUUUGACAAGUAUGUUUGCCAUAAUAUUUUUCGAUAGUCCAUAAAUUUGUUGGUGUUUUUCGACCUCUCUAUUAUCCUGCAAACUCCAUAUUUUUACAAGCCCAGACUUAAGAUCUGACUCUUUAUCAUUUAACUAAAUUUUACAACUGCCCAGACUUAAGAUCCAAAUCUUUAUCAUUUAACUAAAUUUUACAUCCAACACCCUCUGAUUCAUGGGUAGAAGUAUACACUUCUGGACGAUCUUGAAGAUCAUUUAGAAAUGAAAUGUUCUCUUUUAUGGCACCUCAAUGACUGGUUGUUGAUCAUCGUCAUUAUUAUCACCAGAGUCACUCAUUUUAUCUGACUGAUAUGCAUCAUUUGGAGCAUCACUGUUAGAAUUAUUAUCCGCAUGAGUAUCAGCAUAGGCACUGUUAUAAACUAAAUGGGAGAGCCCAACCCAAAAGACUAGUCUAAUACGUGGGAGAACCCAUUUGGCUUAUAAUUUCCUUAGCAUUUAUCUAUUUUUUCAAUGUGGGACAAUUGGUUCAUAACAGACACCAACUUCUAUCCUAGCUUGUAUUUCAGAAACUCUUGAAAUCUCUGAAAUCUGAGAUAAAUUACUAGUUCCUGCACUAUCUCUAAAAUCAUAAUGACGAUAAUUAUCGACAUCAAAAUUUGCACUAAAAUCAGUACAUACGUGGCCAUAAUUAUCGGAUGAAAUAUCAAUUUGUAGUGUUAUACUCUGUGACAAGAAGCUCAUAAAAUUUUAAUAUUCUGAGAAAUUACUAGUCAUAUUUGUAGAUGAUUUAUAAAAAUCAGAUGGGGGUCAUUAAGAUUCAAAGAGGGUGUAGCAAAAUUUAAAGAGAGAGAAUUCAAAUUAUGUGUAGGUUCAACAAUAUUUAAUGCUUCUGUUUUAAUAUACAUCUCCAACAAAUCAAGAUUCAUCAUAUAACGCACCGUAUCAGGUGCCACUAUAAAACUCUUGCAAAGAUUAAUUAUCAAAUAUGGGGAUUUCAAAAUAACGAGCAUUACCCUGCACAGUUAAAAAUGACCAUCUACCUGAAAUAACAAGCCUUAUCUCAUUUGGACUAGUUUUCAUUCUAAUAUGCAAGUUUCUAACUAGCCAAUCAUACUCAAUAUUUAGUGAAAGUUUAACAACUGCACGAGCACCACAACUAUAUCAAACUGUAUCAGAUUCAUAUAUGACAUCACCGCCCCCAAUGCAAUGCAACUCUAACACGAGACUCAUUCAACAUUUUUAAACCUGUAAAAAUAACUUUAGUUAUUAAUAAAUUAUUUACUCAAUAGGGAGAGCAAUAUACUAAGAAAAAAUUACUAACUUUUUUUACUCCAAUUUAGAUUGAAGGAUACAUCAACUGUAAAGUAUAAUAGUUUUUGUGAAUUUAGUAAUAUACAUGACAAUGAAGAGGAUGUACGUAUAUAUAGAGGAACAAAAAAUAAUUUUGAAGACACUCUGCAUAAGAGUGUAUUUUUAAUUUGUUGGAAAGUGCAUUGCUGUCCAUAAGUCUUUAGGGUAUGAAAAAGUUAUCCCCUAUUGUUCCAUCAAUUCAAAAAAUGACAACCUUUUUCAGAUUCUUGAACAGUAAAUUUCACAGAAGGCUCAUGACGAUUAAUGAACCUUUCUUUAAAAUGUAAAACAUUUACUGAAGACUCGUGAGAGUAGAGCACCUUCAGUGUAAAUAUAUUUUAUUGAGAUGAAGAAAGGGGACCUCAGGUAAAGAUAAAGAUUUUGUGAAGUUGAGAUGAAGUGAAGAUAAAGAAUUUUUUUUUGGAAAAAACUCUCAAAGGUGUUUUUGUAAUUUGACUGAAGGUGCAUUGUAAAGAUGAGUCUUUAAUGUGUGAAAAAAUGGUCUUCUCUUGUCCCAUCAAUUCAGACGAUGACAGUCUUUUCAGAUUUCGAGAUACUAAAAUUUAUGUUGAAGGUGUAUUGAAGAAAAUGAGUCUUUCUUCAAAAAUGUAAAAUUCACGGAAGGCUCAUGACUAUCAAUGAGCCUUUCUUUAAAAUGUAAAAGAUUUACUGAAGACUCAUGAAAGUAGAGCACCUUCAGUAUAAAUAUAUUUAAUGUCUGUCUUUUUUUAACGUGAAAAUUGAACACUGAAGGUGCUCUAUGUUCAUGCGUUUUUACUAUUUUGGUCAUGAAAAAUCUUACAAACCCAUUUAUUGAAAUUGUCCUCUUUGUCCUCUUUUGUUGUUAUUGUUAGUUUGGUCUUAGAAGGAAUACUAAUACAAGUGUGAUUUACAUGGAAAAUAUAGUUAUUUAGUCUUCUCUCUUUCGACUUUUCUAAGGUGUUUUUCUGUAUAAGGGUGCAGGACCUUUUCUUUGUUAAACUAAUUAGAUUGGGUUGUGAUUAUUCAAGUCCAUAAUCUACCUGUAGCUUACAGAAUGUCACGCACUCUAUUUGAAAGAUUGAUAAGCACGUAAAGGGUCUGUUCAUUCUAACAUGGGGACUUCUCUAUUAUCUAGCUAGAGGUUUUGGCUUGCUUGUGUGUUGAAAUAUUUUUUUUUCCUUUCUCAUUUCAGCUCUCUCUCGGUGCUUGUGAUCUUAGUCCAGCUGACCAUAUGAAUGAUUUUUAAUUAACCAAUCCAAAGGCCUAUGCUUAUGUGUUGAAAUCUGUUGGGUCAUCUGAUGACUUAUGUCUCGUCCAAACUCAUUUAAUCGUUUGCUAGUUGAAAUACUCUUAACAAAUUCUGAAAAACUGUGUCUGCAGGGUCCAUAUUCACCCACUACUCGUAUGAGUUUUUCUACACACUUAAAUCAUGAAAUAUUUGGUAACAAAGAAGUGCAAUUUGCAUGUCUUAUAAGUAUCCUAGCCAUAUGUAUUGCUUUAUGAUGUCCAACCGGUACUAUAUAUGUUUAGUAAGCCAUUGAAAUAGUAUAGAUGUGUUUGGAUAGUUAAGCAUCUCACAACUUCAUCUCGAUUACGUAUUACGUGAGAAGUUUGUUUCUGAUAAUUUCUUAUUCAUCUAAAACUUGGAUGAUGGUGUGCAAACUAUUGAAUUAGUUAAGAUCUUGUUUGAGUUUAGAAGAUAACAAUCAAUUUCAAGGAGUAAAGGCCUCAAGAUCAAAACAUUAUCAUCAAAAGGGUUCACAAUGUAAAAUUGUAAAUAUAAAUUCAAAACUCUUUGUAAAUACAUGAUUUCAUAACUUUAAACCUUAUUCAAAACGUGUUCGAUAAGCCCAUGUAGUUUAGGAAAAUCCCACGUACCUUAUGUUGUUUAACUUGAAGAUUGAAACCCAACUCUUGACCCUUUUCUUGAAAUCGUGAACUUAGAGGAAACCCUAAUUUGUUUUUGUUCUUGAAAGUGGAGAGGAUUUGAGAUGUUGUAAAAGUGAUAAAAUUUGAUUAAUAAUGUUUAGGGUGUAAUUUAAUUUGUGGGGUAAGGUUUUAGGGUGAGGAAAAGACCAAAGUACCCCUAAAGAAACCAAAGAAAAUCGUAGAAUUCUUCAGUUGACGGCCAAGGUUGAUGACCCGUCAGUUAGGUGACGGCUCGUCACCCUAAGUAGUCACUUUCAGCUUGAAUUUACCCCUUACUGUCCUAGGCUGACGACUAGAGCUAAUGGGUCGUCACUUAUUUGACGGCUCGUCAACUUUAGUCGUCACCUAGUUGAUAACUCGUCAACUUCGUCGUCACUUUUUGGAAGUCAGCCACUCCAAAGUAAAAUGAACAUAACUUUCUACUCCGACAUCAUAUUAAGGUGAACCAGUUGCGUUGGAAAGAGGACUCGAAGAUCUUUCUUUUGAUAUAUAGGACACGUAACUCAUUAUGUACAGGGAGUAAUGGUCGAUGAAAGUUGACUCAAGCUGAAACAUUCAAUAAAACGUAAUAGAUAGAAACGUUCUCAACUCGUCUUCGAGUUAGGAGAUAUUCGUGACCUAAAUUCAUAUCCAAAGGUAUUCCCACACUAUAAAAUUGAUCAUAACACAUAUAUUAAUAGAGAAUCAUUGGGUUUGGGUCUAUACGUAUAGGAACGACGAUUUGAAAUCUAGCCCGAAAAAUACAGGGUGUUACAAUAUUGGUGGUGCAAGGUACAAAUCUAGACAUUGUAACGCAAUAAUGAAAAGGUAAAAGACCAAGGCUGUGCUCCGAUUGACGGAAAUGUUUUUCCCCAAAAAUAUUUCUUAGAUAAUGAUUUUUUUUCGAAAAUAAGCGAGUGGACUAUGUUUCUUGCGAUUUAUGGGUUCUUACAGCGACCUCAUGUCAAUGUACUAUAGAGGUUCUUAAUAAUUUUUUUUUAAAAUAUUUAGUGGAUUUUCUAAAUGUAUAUACAUGAUCUAGUAAAAGUUACUGGUUCCGUGAACCCCUAGUUCAUCGAUAUCUUUGUCGUGCUAAUUUGGGCAGUUUAAUUCGAUGCUGAAACUCGUAUCAAUUCCUCAUAAUCUGUUUUUAUUUAGCGUAUGAGGUAAUCUUGAACUUUGUAACCUUUUGCAGUUUUCUCUUCUGUACUGCUUUAUCAGUAAAAUGUACUUGGAUAAAAAAAGAAGGAAUGUCUAUAUCAUUAAAUAACUUAAGGUUUUGAACCAGAUGAGAUUGUUGAGGACUCUCACAACAAGUAUAUAUUUUUCACGAGCACAAUCAGGUUAGGUGAUGAUUAAGCAACAUAUAUGAUCUCUGAAUAUGUGGUUAUGUCCGUCCAAAAGACGAUAACUAUACAAACUACGCGGUCUGAUGCAAAUUCUUGGUCAUAAUCUGGAGGCGAUGGAACAAAAUUGGGCAUUUAUAGAAAUUUAAUUUUCCAUGUUUUUGGUCUGGAUCAAGUUAAAUGUGGCAGUUUCAAUUCUCUGCAAAACAUAAAUUUCAACAUAUAAUAUUACUCUUCAUUUUCUUAAAACAAAAGAACGUGUGAUAGGAACAUGAUGAAAAUAAAUUUAAGAAGGAGAUCCACGUCUCAUGUUUAAAGAGAAUAUAAAAAAAUAGUUCACGUGAUCCUUAAAACUUCACAAAAUAGAAGAUGUCACACUCCCUUUUUCAUACUCCAAAAAAGAUUAAUUCUAAAGUUUUGAAAGGAUUUUUAUUGUUAAAGUGACAAAAGUGAAGAUUUGUUUCGAAAAGGACUUUUUAUAUUUAAAACUCAGAGUCGCCACUUGGCAUAAUCCGGUGUGCCAAGUCACCUUUGGACAAUCCUUUUCAAAACAAUUUGACUCUUUAAAACUGGUUUGCAAACAGAGAUUCCGGCUAAGGAAUUCUGUUGACCGAGGGGAAGGUGUUAGGCACCCCUCGAUCCCGUGGAUUGACCACGGUCGCUUGGUGGAGCGUAUCGACUGAUUUGACACUAAAAACGUAUAAACCACACAAAAACACACAAAACAAUCAAACAAACAAAAAUAAAACAAUCUGAAAAUAUAGUGUCCAGUCCGAAUUAUACAGUCCCAAAAAUAUAAAAAUACAAAAAUGUAACUCCUAUUCUAAACUAAUUCUAAACUAUUCUCCAAUACCUUACCCGAUGCGUCGGGCCUUGAUCACGAACAUCCUCCGAAUACAAAAUACUUCGGGGCAUUCCCCGGCCAAAUGAUACACUUGAUCCAAAUAAGAUAACAAAAAAAAGUUCAAAACACACAUUUAAACAUUCAAGGCAUUCAAUCAACACAUCACUCCUAAAUUUUUGCCUACCCAAACCUAUAUUGCCUAUUCAUUUCACCAUAUCGUAAAUCUAUCACGUUCAUGCUUAUCCCGAAUUAAAGAAAAUGGCAACGGAACAAAAUUUAACUACAAUCAACUUCUAUCAAAUUCUUAAUUACACCCCUAAAUUCAUUCUCAACUAAUGAUUAACCUAGCUUCGAUUAUCAAUUCAAUUUCUCGCACCCAAAUUCAACAUCAACCAGCAUCAACCAUACACACAGUAAAGGCUCAAGCAUGAUAAGCAUACCAAAACAUUCACGUCUGCAAGAACAAUCAAAAUUUGAGAUAAAAAUAGAGAAUGAAAGAAAUGGACCUCAAGUUUCUCUUUCAAAAUCAAUGUAUUAUUUCAAUUAAAUCCGACUUCUCCACAUCCGAAGCCUUUGAGUCGAACCUCAACAGCAGACCCAGUCCAAACUCGGUACUACCAAAAUUAAAACCCCGAACUGACCACAAUGAUCCAAUAUCUCGCUAAAAUCUAACGGAAAAUCAAACACCCGCAAGGUUCAAACUCCGAUGAGUCAUCGGUGAUGCAGACGACCAGAACAACCAGUCGCCGGACGGAUUCCAUCUGAAAUUGAAGAACAACGGAGGGAGGUUUGACCGUUUUAUACGAAUGACGAACGGAAGGGAUGACUCCGGCGAAUCUAUUGCCAGAACAGUAACCCGAAAUCAACCCUGCUUCCUUCUUCGUUAUGGAUCUAGACCUCUCUCACUCUAUCUCCCUCCCAUUCUCGAAUCUCUCUCUCUCUUUCUCUUCUCCCUCUCAUGAUCUUUCUCUCAAUCUCUCUGUGUGUCAUUUUCUAUUUUGUGAUGAGAAAACCAUGUGCGAAGCCUUUUCCGAUGACAACCAGUGUGUGAUAUAGAUUUAUGUGUUCUUAGUGGAAUCAGAUGGUGAGUAUGGGUAUGGUCAUGAAUGAAAAAUGAAGCUCUACCAUUGUUGUGAUAUGCGUGUAUGGUAUUUUAGUGGUGUCAGGUGGGUGUUAAUGGUGGAGUGAUGGUUUUGUCAUGGUGUUAAUGGAGUGUGUGCGAUGGUGCUGAUUGUGAGGGAAUUUUGUGAAGGUGUCUGUGGUAAUUGUAUAUUCCUUUUUAUUUGUGAGAGUGUAUAUAUAUUAUAUUUUGUUCCCUUAAAACAAAAUGGUUCCUUGUGGGCUUUCCUGGAAGUUUCCUAGUGGGCCCCUUUCUAAUUUUUAUCCCUUUUUGCCUUUGUGGACAAGAAAUAUGAGGGGGAGGGGGUCACGUGGGUAUGGGGUAUUGGGGGUAGGGGUAUGGGUAAUUUGUCUUCUUUUAAUUGAAAGGGUUGUUAGGAUGUUAAAAGAAUAAAAGUUUGUUAGGAAUUUUGUUGAGAGUUAUUUUUUUGUAUUUUUAUGGGAUGUAAUUACAUGGGAGAGGGUACACGGUAGGAUAAGGUAAAAAUGGAGAAAACGAUAUCGGGGAGGGACGAAAUUACAUGUCUACAUCAUGCUCCCUUUGAAUGUAAACACGCAGUGUUUUCAGACAAAGAAGUAAACAACGAGACCAAAUUUUAUCUCGAUCAUUAUUCAAAGAGAGGAGUAAAAGAAAGAAAGACAACCGAAUCCUUUAGGACACCCUACCUACCCAAGUCAUGAGGAAGUUAAGUGAUAGGUGUUUCAAAGGAUUGGAAAGAGAUGGACUAUACCGAGUUGGAGAGUCGAGUGAGGUUCCAUAGAGGUUUCAAAACACACAUUUAAACAUUCAAGGCAUUCAAUCAACACAUCACUCCUAAAUUUUUGCCUACCCAAACCUAUAUUGCCUAUUCAUUUCACCAUAUCGUAAAUCUAUCACGUUCAUGCUUAUCCCGAAUUAAAGAAAAUGGCAACGGAACAAAAUUUAACUACAAUCAACUUCUAUCAAAUUCUUAAUUACACCCCUAAAUUCAUUCUCAACUAAUGAUUAACCUAGCUUCGAUUAUCAAUUCAAUUUCUCGCACCCAAAUUCAACAUCAACCAGCAUCAACCAUACACACAGUAAAGGCUCAAGCAUGAUAAGCAUACCAAAACAUUCACGUCUGCAAGAACAAUCAAAAUUUGAGAUAAAAAUAGAGAAUGAAAGAAAUGGACCUCAAGUUUCUCUUUCAAAAUCAAUGUAUUAUUUCAAUUAAAUCCGACUUCUCCACAUCCGAAGCCUUUGAGUCGAACCUCAACAGCAGACCCAGUCCAAACUCGGUACUACCAAAAUUAAAACCCCGAACUGACCACAAUGAUCCAAUAUCUCGCUAAAAUCUAACGGAAAAUCAAACACCCGCAAGGUUCAAACUCCGAUGAGUCAUCGGUGAUGCAGACGACCAGAACAACCAGUCGCCGGACGGAUUCCAUCUGAAAUUGAAGAACAACGGAGGGAGGUUUGACCGUUUUAUACGAAUGACGAACGGAAGGGAUGACUCCGGCGAAUCUAUUGCCAGAACAGUAACCCGAAAUCAACCCUGCUUCCUUCUUCGUUAUGGAUCUAGACCUCUCUCACUCUAUCUCCCUCCCAUUCUCGAAUCUCUCUCUCUCUUUCUCUUCUCCCUCUCAUGAUCUUUCUCUCAAUCUCUCUGUGUGUCAUUUUCUAUUUUGUGAUGAGAAAACCAUGUGCGAAGCCUUUUCCGAUGACAACCAGUGUGUGAUAUAGAUUUAUGUGUUCUUAGUGGAAUCAGAUGGUGAGUAUGGGUAUGGUCAUGAAUGAAAAAUGAAGCUCUACCAUUGUUGUGAUAUGCGUGUAUGGUAUUUUAGUGGUGUCAGGUGGGUGUUAAUGGUGGAGUGAUGGUUUUGUCAUGGUGUUAAUGGAGUGUGUGCGAUGGUGCUGAUUGUGAGGGAAUUUUGUGAAGGUGUCUGUGGUAAUUGUAUAUUCCUUUUUAUUUGUGAGAGUGUAUAUAUAUUAUAUUUUGUUCCCUUAAAACAAAAUGGUUCCUUGUGGGCUUUCCUGGAAGUUUCCUAGUGGGCCCCUUUCUAAUUUUUAUCCCUUUUUGCCUUUGUGGACAAGAAAUAUGAGGGGGAGGGGGUCACGUGGGUAUGGGGUAUUGGGGGUAGGGGUAUGGGUAAUUUGUCUUCUUUUAAUUGAAAGGGUUGUUAGGAUGUUAAAAGAAUAAAAGUUUGUUAGGAAUUUUGUUGAGAGUUAUUUUUUUGUAUUUUUAUGGGAUGUAAUUACAUGGGAGAGGGUACACGGUAGGAUAAGGUAAAAAUGGAGAAAACGAUAUCGGGGAGGGACGAAAUUACAUGUCUACAUCAUGCUCCCUUUGAAUGUAAACACGCAGUGUUUUCAGACAAAGAAGUAAACAACGAGACCAAAUUUUAUCUCGAUCAUUAUUCAAAGAGAGGAGUAAAAGAAAGAAAGACAACCGAAUCCUUUAGGACACCCUACCUACCCAAGUCAUGAGGAAGUUAAGUGAUAGGUGUUUCAAAGGAUUGGAAAGAGAUGGACUAUCCCGAGUUGGAGAGUCGAGUGAGGUUCCAUAGAGGUUUCGGUCCGCGGCUCUGUCAUUACAUCAAAAUGAAGAUUACAAGUUAAAACAUAAAUGAGAUUACAAAAAUCCUAUCUAUGCAGCAUUCCUUGACUCCCGACUCGAGUUUUAUCACUCUAUUCUUCAUGUGGGCUCCUGAUUUGCAAUUUCUUUCAUCUUGUUGCUUAGCUUUCAAUUUCAUCACCCUAUUCUUCAGGCGGGCUCCUGACUUGCUGUUUUUCAAUCUGUUGACUCUCAAUUCCUUCACUUUGUUGCUUGGCUUUCAACUUCUUCACUUUGUUGCUUUGACUUUCCAUUUAUUCGCCCUAUGCUUCGGACGGGCUCCUGACUUGCUAUUUUUUUGACUUUCGAUUUCUUUACCUUGUUGCUUGGCUUUCAUCUUCCUCACCCUGUUCUUCAUGCGGACUCCUGACUUACAAUUUUAUCACCCUGUUUUCAGGCGGGCUCCUGACUUGCAAUUUCAUCACCCUGUUCAUCAGGCGGGCUCCUGACUUGAAUUUUAUCAUCCUAUUCUUUAGGCGGGCUCCUGAAAUCAAAAUCAAAACUAGAACGAAAAUAUCUCAAACAAAGAUUAUAAUAAGGAAAGAUUUCAUUUUUCUGAAAAUAAUGUCGCAUUUUCCAGCAGAGUCCCAAACAGAAGUAAAAUCCCAUUUUUCAGGUGGGUCCUAAACAGAAGUAAAAUCUCAUUUUUCAGGAAGUUCCUGAACAGAAAUUAAAGUCCCAUUUUUCAAGAGGGUCCUAAACAUAAAGUAAAAUCCCAUUUUUCAGGAAGGUCCUGAACUUGAAGUCAAUUUACAUUUUCCAGGAGGGUCCUGAACUAAAAGUAAACUCCCAUUUUUCAGGAGGGUCCUAAACUGAAAGUAAAAUUCCAUUUUUUAGAAGGGUCCUAAACAUAAAGUUUAAUCUCAUUUUUCAGGAGGGUCCUGAACAUAAAGUAAAAUCCUAUUUUUCAGGAGGGUCUUGAACAGAAAGUAAAAUCCCAUUUUACAGGAGGUCCUGAAUAGAAAGUAAAGUCCCAUUUUUCAGGAGGGUCCUGAACAUAAAUUAAAAUUCCAUUUUCAGGAGGGUCCUGAACAAAAAAUAAAUUCUCAUUUUUCAGGAGGGUCUUGAAUAUAAAGUAAAAUUCGAUUUUCCAGGAGGGUCCUGAACAGAAAGUAAAAUCUCAUUUUUCAGGAGGGUCCUGAACAGAAAGUAAAAUUCCAUUUUUCAGGAGGGUCCUAAAUAGAAAGUAAAGUCCUAUUUUUCAGGAGGGUCCUGAAUAGAAAGUAAAGUCCCAUUUUUCAGGAGGGUCCUGAACAGAAAUUAAAAUCCUAUAUUUCAGGAGGGUCCUGAAUAGAAAAUAAAUUCCUAUUUUUCAGGAGGGUCUUGAACAGAAAGUAAAAUUUCAUUUUUCAGGAGGGUCCUAAACUGAAAGUAAAUUUCCAUUUUUUAGGAGGGUCCUGAACUGAAAGUAAAUUCUUAUUUUCAGGAGGGUCUUGAACAGAAAUUAAAGUCCCAUUUUUCAGGAGGGUCCUGGACAAAAAGUAAAAUCUCAUUUUCUAGGAGAGUCCUGAAUAGAAAGUAAAAUCCCAUUUUACAGGAGGGUCCUGAACAUAAAGUAAAUUCCCAUUUUUCAGGAGGGUCCUGAACAUAAAGUAAAGUCCCAUUUUUCAGGAGGGUCCUAAACAGAAAUUAAAAUCUCAUUUUUCAGGAGGGUCUUGAAUAGAAAUUAAAAUCCCAUUUUUCAGGAGGGUCCUGAACAGAAGUAAAAUCUCAUUUUUCAGGAGGGUCCUAAACAUAAAGUAAAGUCCCAUUUUUCAGGAGGGUCCUGAACAGAAAUUAAAAUCCUAUUUUUCAGGAGGGUCCUGAAUAGAAAGUAAAAUCCCAUUUUCCAGAAGGGUCCUGAACAGAAAGUAAAAUCCCAUUUUCCAGGAGGGUCCUGAACAUAAAGUAAAAUUCCAUUUUUCAGAAGGGUCCUAAAUAGAAAGUAAACUCCUAUUUUUCAGGAGGGUCUUGAACAGAAAGUAAAGUCCCAUUUUUCAGGAGGGUCCUGAACAUAAAGUAAAGUCCCAUUUUUCUGGAGGGUCCUAAACAUAAAGUAUAUUCCCAUUUUUUAGGAGGGUCCUAAACUGAAAGUAAAAUCCUAUUUUUCAGAAGGGUCCUGAACAUAAAGUAAAAUCUCAUUUUUCAGGAGGGUCUUGAAUAGAAAGUAAAAUCUCAUUUUUCAGGAGGGUCCUGAACAGAAUAGUAAAAUCCCCAUGGAUGUGUUUUUCCAAUGGUAAUUGAAUUAAGCAAGGUGAAUUUUCCUAUGUUUCAACAAAGAAAUUAUGUCAGUUAAAAACUUAGUAGUGGCUUGCAACACUUGGCUUCUCAGGCAUCUGCCCCAACCAUUGUUCCUUUCACCUUUGUUUCAGAUAGCUGAAACUUGCCCCUGUCUUGUCGCGUCAUUGACCCGGAUCCAAAUUGAGGGAAAUGAGUUCUGACUCAAAUAAUGAAUUUUCAUUUUACCAUGCCUCUGAGAUGCACCGUUUUUCGAAUCUGAAUACUUCUACGAACCCAACAGCCUGUCGGUUGAUAGGCUUUGUUUGCUUUGUGUUGAAUUACUAUCAUAUCUCUUUCAUAUGUUAGUCCUCGGCUUUUCCUUAUACAAUUGGAAAGACUGAUAGCAAGUUUUAAAAUCUUUUCUUGCUUGUUUUGACACAGACUCGACUCCAAAUGUAAAGAAAUGAUGUUGACUUUAUUUUGAUAAAUGACAUAAAAAGACAAAAAUAUGAAUAUGUAAAUGAAAUAAAAGGGCAAUGUCCCUUAGUCAAAAAUAAAACUUAUCUGAAUAUGACAACCAACUCCAAUGAGUAUGACAUGCAUUUUGGAUUGAGCUGCCUGAUCUUCCUAUCCAAACUUCCCUUUUGUUGUUGAGUUCAUGCCUUUGCCGCGGAGCCGCUUCUUCAAACCCAUUGGACUCAUAUAUCUCAUUCAAUUGACGCCAUCUUAAAAGACUUUCGCCAACAAAUCUCUUUUCUUUUCACUUUUCUCUUAAACUCUCCAUCUCCUUACGGUACCCGUGAGGGUUUUCACUAAUAAGACUCUCUCAUUUUUAUUUCUCUCAACUCCCCAUCGGAUUACGGUGCCCGUGAGGGUUUUCACCAAUAAGACUCUCAUUUUAUUUCUCUCGACUCACCAUCGCCUUACGGUGCUCGUGAGGGUUUUCACCAAUAAAAAUCUCUCAUUUUAUCUCUUUCCAGAUUUCUUAGGCUGAGGAAGAGAAGUAGUACCCCACAAUGUAUCAUCAUAUCCAUUGCAUGCUUAACCUUAACAUUAUCAAAAAUUUAUCUGAAGGACUUUAUUUGGUUGUAACUUGGCUUUUGGAUAAGGUUAGAAAAGGAUGGCAAGAGGCUCAAAUGACACUUGAAGUGGGGGUGAGACUUACAACUUUUUGAAUCGACUCAAACAACACAUUAACUCAUGCCCCAAUUUUGGCUGACUGGGUGACUUUAAAAAUUUUAUUUGGUUGGACCGAGCCCUGAAUAGGGCAGCCUACGUAUCUCACUCCCAAGAGAGGAGAAUUAGGUCGCACGUAGUUCCAGCAGAUUGUUCUUUGUUUUGAUUUGAUUUUUUUCUUUUAUCGAACUCUUUCUUUUAUUCUUAUUUUCUUGACAUUUAUCUUUGACUCUAUUUUGAUUCCAAAAGAGGGAUAUGGAACAAAAAUAAAACGAAGCUCAACCGGGUAAACAAAGUAUAACACAAUAUUUGGAUAGAAGAAUAAAAUGUCUUUAUCAUAUCAAUCUUCAAAAAUGCAAGUACUAAACAUGCAAUAAAAUCAACAGAGGAUAAAAUAUCAUACAUAAUAUCUUUUGACCGCAUCAGCAUUGAUAGCCAUUUCUGCCAUUUUGCCUUCAAUAUUUGUCAAAUAUAAGGCUCUAUUGGGCAACACUUUCUUCACAAUGGAGGGACCUUGCCAGUUUGAGGAGAACUUGACUUUCUCUUCAACCUAGUGAGGAAGGAUACGCUUUAAUACCAUCUGACCGACAUCAAAAUUCCUGGGUCAUACCCUUUUGUUAUACGCUCGAGCCAUUCUCUUCUGAUACAAUUGGCCAUGGCAUACCGACGUUAGCCUUUUUUCCUCAAUCAAACUCAAUUGUUCCAGUCGGGUUUUGACCCACUCGUUAUCAUCAAUCUCUGCUUCCAUAAUGAAUCGAAGAGAGGGAAUUUCAACUUCUAUAGGAAUGACUGCUUCUGUCCCAUAGACCAAUAAAUAUGGAGUUGCCCCUGUUGAAGUGCGACUGUAGUGCGAUAACCUAGAAAUGCAAAUGGCAACAUCUCAUGCCAUUGUCUAGACCCUUGUACCAUUUUCCGCAGUAUCUUCUUGAUAUUCUUAUUGGCGGCUUCCACAACACCAUUGGCCUUCGGACAAUAUAGAGUGAAAUUUCGAUGUGCGAUCUUAAACUGUUGGCACACUUCUUGCAUCAAAUGACUAUUGAGAUUGGCAGCAUUGUUCGUAAUAAUCAUCUUUGGAAUUCCAAACCUACAAAUGAUGUUGGGAUGAACAAAAUCUACCAUCGCUUUCUUUGUUACUGACUUGAAAGUUACUGCUUCUACCCACUUUGUAGAGUAAUCAAUGGCCACCAAAAUAAAUCUAUGCCCAUUUGACGCUUUCGGCUCAAUCGAUCCAAUCACGUCCAUCCCCCAAUCUAUAAACGGCCAUGGAGCAGCCAUUGCGUGCAACUCAGUAUGAGGAGAAUGUAUCAGAUCACCGUGUACCUAACAUUGAUGACACUUUUGAACAAAUCAAAUAGAAUCUCUCUCCAUAGUAAGCCAGUAAUAACCUGCUCGAAGAAUCUUCUUUGACAAGACAUAACCAUUUAUAUGCGGCCCGCAUACUCCAGAAUAUAUUUCAACCAUGAUUGCCGAGGCUUCUCUUUCAUCUACACACCUCAAAAGUCUCAGAUCUGGGGUUCUCUUAUAUAAGAUUCCCCUUCUUAAGAAAAAUCGGCUAGCCAAACGCCUAAUAGUUCUCUUUUGACCACUGGUGGCAUGUGAUGGGUAGUAUCCUGGUUGAAUGUAUCGCUUGAUAUCAAAGAACCAAGGUUCGCCAUCAGGAUCUUCUUCUUCAAUUUCAUUACAAUAAGCGUGUUGAUCAUGACUCUGGAUAUGCACUGGAUCGAUGCAGGCUUUAUCAGGAUGUUGGAGCAUUGAAGACAGAUUGGCUAAAGCAUCAGCAAUCUCAUUAUGAAUCCUUGGAAUAUGCCUAAAUUUUACUGACACGAACCAUUGAUGGACGAGCAAAUCUGAAUCCCCAACACUAAUAGCUCCUGGACUCCCAUAUCGAUAGCUAACCUCAAACCGAGAAUGCAAGCUUCGUAUGCCGCUAUGUUGUUGGUACAAUAAAAUCAAAGUUGUGUUGUUACCGGGAAAUGUUUCCCCACUUCAGAGAUAAGAACUGCACCUACUCCCAUUCCUUUUAUGUUGACAGCUCUAUCGAAGAACAAUUUGCAACCUGGAUCCGUAUCUAUAACGACUUUAUCAACACACAAUACUUUUUCAUCAGGAAAAUAUGUCUUUAAUGGCUCGUACUCUUCAUCGAUAGGAUUCUCAGCAAGAUGAUCUGCCAAGGCUUAGUCUUUCAUGGUUGUUCGAGUCACAUAUACAAUGUCAAACUCGGUAAGCAAUAUUUGCCACUUUGCCAAUCGACCUGUCGGCAUAGGUUUCUAAAAAAUAUACUUCAAAGGAUCCAUGCGGGAGAUGAGAUAAGUAGUGUAGGACGAGAGAUAAUGCUUCAACUUCUGUGCUACCCAAGUUAGGGCACAGCACGUCCUUUCAAGAAGAGUAUACCUAUCCUCAUAUGUGGUGAACUUCUUGCUAAGAUAAUAAAUAGCCUGCUCUUUCUUGCCUGUGACAUCAUGUUGACUCAGGACACAACCGAAUGAAUUAUCCAUGACUGAUAAAUAUAAGAUCAAAGGCCUACCAGGCUCCGGUGGUUCCAGCACGGGCGGAUUUAACAAAUAUCUUUUGAUUCUGUCGAACGCUUCCUGGCAUUCUUCAGUCCAUUCUACCGCAUCACUCUUUUUCAGCAACUUGAAUAUGGGCUCACAAGUGGUUGUGAGUUGAGUAAUAAAUCUACUAAUGUAGUUCAGUCUACCAAGCAAACUCAUCACCUCUAUCCUAUUCUUGGGCGGGGGCAAAUCUUGAAUGGCUUUGAUUUUUGAGGGAUCUAAUUUAAUUCCUCGACGGCUGACUACAAACCCCAACAGAUUUCCAGACGGAACUCCAAAUACACAUUUUGCCCCUUUCAAAGAACUUUCUUAAAUCUUUAACAUGGUCAGCCUGACUUUUUAACUUAAUAAUCAUAUCAUCCACGUAGACCUUAAUAUCUUUAUGCAUCAUAUCAUGAAACAUAGUGGUUAUGGCUCUCAUGUAUAUUGCUCCAGCAUUCUUCAAACCGAACGGCAUCACUCGAUAAUAAUAGGUCCCCCAUGAUGUGAUAAAAGAUGCCUUCUCUAUGUCUUUAUUGUCUAUAAUGAUCUGGUGGUAUCCGGCAUAGCAAUCCACAAAAGAGGCAACCUCAUGUUUAGCGCAGUUGUCCAAUAAAAUAUGGAUUUUGGGCAUCGAAAAAUCAUGUUUCGGACUUGCUCUGUUCAAAUCAUGAUAAUCAACAUAUACUCGAAUUUUGUCAUCUUUCUUUGGGACAGGAACAAUAUUUGAUAACCACGUGGUAUAGCGAGCCACUCGAAUUACUUUAGCUUCUAGUUGUUUUAUGAUUUCCUCUUUGAUUUUAAUACUUACAUUAGUUUUAAACUUCCUCAACUUCUGUUUAACAGGAGGGAAUGUGGGAUCAGUUGGCAAUUUGUGAGCUACUAAUUCAGUGCUUAAACCAGGCAUAUCAUUAUAAGACCAUGUAAAAACAUCCUUAUAAUCAAUUACUGCUUGAAUCAUUCCAUAUUUUAGCUGUGGCAAAACAUGUACACUGAUUUUAGUUUCCCUAACAUCUUCUUGAUUCCCUAAAUUUAUUGGCUCAGUCUCAUUCAAAUUAAGAUUCGGUUUGUCUUCAAACUGUUCCAACUCUUUGCUUAUUUCUUCUAGUGCUUCUUCUUCAUCAUAUUCCCCAUCCUACUUCGUUACAUAUUGAUUAGUUUGAAUUUUAAGAUUAGGCUAAAAAUUCUACAUGCAUGUCAUGUCAUUAGAAUCAUCAUAAAGAGAACUGUAUAAAAAAAGAGAACAACAAAAUAUAUUAGACACAAAACAAAAGGGAUAUUACAUUUCAUUAAAAGAAAAGAUAGGAGGGUUUAAACAUAAAUGCUAACAUAACAUAAACAAACUAAAAAUCUAAAUUACAACCCUAAAAUAACUCAGAUAAACAGAAAAAAAAACAAAACAAACUACUAAAACUCCCUCCUGACGGGGAGAGGAGUGACUUCCCAAUUGUUGAGCCGAACAGCUGGACCUAUGAAUUGCACGUCUGCCUUACUAGUAACCUCUCCUUAUUUGACCAUAUCAACUUUAAUAAAAAGAUUCUGGAAGUCAUCAAUUAAUUUAGCUUAAAAUUCUACAUGCUUUGUGAUACCGCUCUUAACAAAUGAUUCACUGAGUAGUAGCAUUGGGCGAGGGAGUACCCAUGUUUCAUUUUUCCUUCCCUUGGAUUUCUUUAGAUCUUCAAUCGUGGGCUCGAAUUCCAGACCAAAAGAGCCCAUGUUCUUACUUAGACAUAUGGGACGAACUAUACCAUGCAGAGACGCUUCCAAACCCCUUCCUGGCUCAAAUUCAUAUUUCAAAAGUUCACUCACCAUCAUGAUAGAAAGGAAUACAAUUUUGAUCCCGGUAUAACCUGCCCUUCAAAUAUAUGAUUUACUGGCACUGCAUCAAAAAUUUGAUAGACAAAUGUCUCCUCUACAUUAUUUGCUUCAAUAAGAGACAAGAGAGAAUCUUCGCAGGCGGACAAAUCUCCUUUCCCAUGAAUAAUCACUUCUUUCCUGUCAUGCUCAAACUUAAUCAUCUGGUGCAGUGUAGAUGCAACCGCCUUGGCCUUGUGGAUCCACGAUUUUCCCAAUAAUAGAUUGUAAGAGGAGUCUAUAUUCAAUACUUGAAACUCUAUGAUGAACUCAAAAGGCCCUAUAAUCAACAUUAGUUCUAUUUCGCCAAUGGAGUUUGAUUUCGCACCAUCGAAAGCCUUGACACAUACAUUGUUGGGCCUGAUCCUCUCAGCACUAAUAUUCAACUUUUGCAAAGUAGAAAUAGGGCAGAUAUUUGCACCUGAACCUCCAUCAAUCAUAGAAUGAGUGACUAGAAAUCUUCGCACUUCACAAUAAUGUAAAGGCCCCAGUUAUGCCCCGUACCUUUAAUAGGUAAUUCAUCGUCGGAGAAGCUGAUCCGAUUGACCUCAAAGAUUUUUUUCGACCAUUUUCUGAAGCUGAUUUACUGUAAUCUCCCUAGGAACAUAUGCUUCAUUUAAUACCUUCAGUAUAAUAUCACGAUGUUCCUUAGAGCGCAACAACAAAGAUAAGAGGGAAGUUUAAGCAGGGGUUUUCUUCAACUAGUCUAUUAUUGAAUACUCAGGCAAUUUCAUCUUUUUAAAAAAUUCUUCGGCUUCUUCUUCGGUGACCGACUUUUUGAUAGAUGAAGGUCCACUCACAAUUGGCUUGGACUUUCUUAAACUUUUAGGCACGAAGUAUUUUCCUGACCGAGUCAAACCCCCUACCUCAUCUACAUCUUCCACUACUUCCUUCCUGUGAUAGGUCAUCAUAGUCCGCCCAUAGUUCUAGGGAACCCUUUUCGUAUCAACUAUUGGAGGUUCGGUCACCGGUUUGAGGACAAUAGGCACUGCCAAUGCUCCUUUCACCAUCAAGAUGGGCUUACUCCGUGCUCCUAUCACCGUCAACUUAGGCUUAUCCCAACUUAAACCAACAUACCUUCUAGAACCUUGUACUGUGAUAGUGGUUUCUUUGUACUUUCUGGGGCUUUAUCUUCUCUCAUUCCUUCCUGGUUCAAUGACAUUGCUUUCAAAGACUCUGCUAUGUUCACCGAUUUCUCUUCAUUGGUCUGUAUAUUGAUAAUAGGCUUAUAACACCUUGACGAUUAUUUUCCAUCAUAUAUCAAUUCUAACAUAUUGGUUUCAGCAUAGGUUGGCAGUGGAUUCUGAUUAAUAUUCAGAACCUCUGAGGCCUGGACCAGUAUCUGAUUUAUGUCAAUUAAAUCUUGGACAACUCUCUUUAAAUGCCAGCAUUUCUCGAUAUCAUGGCCUGGCAUGUCAGAACAGUACGCACACCUCAAAGAAUAAUCGAGAUUCCUCGUAGGUGGAUUUGUAAGCCUUCCUUGAAUUGGUCUUAAGACCUUCAUCUUUCUCAACCUAUCAAAUAAGCUAGCAUAUGACUCCCCAAAAGGUGUGAACAAGUUUUUGACCGCCUUAUCUUUCUUAUACUCGAGCCUGGGUUGGAAACUGGGUGUGGAGUGGUUUUGGUAAUUUAGUGGAGCUGAUGGGCGAUUUGUGGAGCUUGCGUGCGCCAUUGCGGGUAAGAAGGGGUUUGGGCAUAUGGCUGUGUGCUAUAUACUGGGUACGGGGGUAGUGGAAUGAAAUAUAAAGGGUUUUUUGGAGGGUAGUAAUGGUGGGGAGGAAUAUAUGGAGCUUGGGCGUAGACUUGGGCAUGGGAUUGGGGAUACAGGCGAGGUGGUCUUUUUGGAUAGGAAUGGGUUCCAGAUACGACAGUCGCCACGUCCUCUUUCUUCUUUUUACCUCUAAAUACGCCAGAUCCACCUUGAAUCGCUUGUGUGGUGGCUUUUAAUGCUGCAAAACUCUCUAUUCGGCCGGUCUUGAUUCCGUUCUCUAUCAUCUCCCCUAUUUUGAGGACUUCAACAAAAGACUUUCCCAUUGCCGGAAGUAAAUAUUGAAAAUAGGUCUCAUCCUAUGCCUGAAUGAAAACCUUUACCAACUUACUUUCCUUUAUUGGAGGCUUUACCCUGGCGGCUUGUUCACUCCACCUUAUCGAGUAUUCCCUAAAACCUUCAGUGCUUUUCUUCUUCAUGUUGACCAAGGAUUUUUUGUCCGAAAUCAAGUUGAUGUUAUACUGAAAAUAUUGCACAAACUAAGAAGCUAAGUCAUCCCAGCUGUUCCACUUGUUGAUAUCUUGAUCGACAAACCUUUCUGAAGCCAGAUCAGAAAGACUCUCGCCAAAGAAAGCUAUGAGCAACUCUUCCCUCCCCCCUACAGCCCUCAAUUGGUUGCAAUAACGUCUCAAGUGUGCCACGAGUUCACCAUGCCUAACAUACUUCUUGAACUUGGGCAUUUUAAAACUGAGGGGAAGGUUGACGUCGGGGAACAUGCAAAGAUCUUUAUAGGAAACACUCUUAUAACCUCUGAUUCCCUGCAAAUUCCUCAUGGCCUGUUCUAAACUUUUCAACUUCCACGCUAUGACUUCCUGUUCCUCUGUUGCGACAGGUUUCUCCGUAUCAAAUGGAAAUACAGGUGGCUGAGUGUACCCAUACGGUUCAUUCAUUCUCAAAGUAGGCUCGGGGCAUAAUACUGACUAUCUGGAACCUUCAAUACUGGAUCACUGGCAGACCGAGGAAGCCCCAUUAUCGGACGUACAACAUAUAUGGGAGCUUCAAGUGGUGGCGGAGCCACGAACACCGGUGUGAUCGGUGGCGCCGGCUGAGCAGCGGGUCUUGGUUGGGGAGCUGCCAAGGGCACACUAGAAGUGCAAUGACACGGAGUGAAUCCUGGCGCGUGCUCAGGUGACUCAGUGGGAGCAGAGAAUUGCGCCUGAGAGAGAUGUGAACAAUUAGAGAUACUCCCAAGACCUUCAGGGAGUGAAGGAGGAGGCAUGCCACUAGCCCAUGCUCGGUGCAAACCUAUCAGUUGUUGCAUGAGCCUUACUGCCUCAUCAUUUUAUUCUGAACUUUCUUCCCUGGGAUCCUGAUCCGGGUUAAUAAGAGAAUUUUUAAUCUCCCUACUAGCCAUGGCGAGCUUUGCUUUUGAUCUAGUGAAGUGUGGGUGACUAGCCAGAGUGCUGCAAAUCUACCACUGUUAUCUGAAAGGACAUUUUCACCAAAGACAACAUCCAUUAGGAUUAGGUCACACAACAAGCAUAGGAAUCACAUUGGUAAAAUUUCCCUAGAUUCAUGUUCAUUUCUACCAACCUUUGAGGGUAGCGAGGUUAUUUUAACAUUAUCCCAAUUUUCAUCUACACUUCCUCCAAACACACCUCUCUUUUUUUUGCCCUCAUUUCCCUCUCUCUUCUUUUUUCGUAUCAGUCUCUGUUCUUUCCCUUUUUUGUCUCAUCAUCCUUUCUUUCUUUUCUUCUCUCGCUAUCUACCUUCAUUUUAUCAUUCUUUAUGGCUUUUGUUUUUCUUUAAAAGAGGAAAAAUAACAAAAAACAACGAAACAAAAUGAUUAGAUCAAACCCAAAAGUAGGUUGCCUACGUAUCAUGUUGUACAUGAAUCAGAUCUUGCAUAGUUCGGGAUGUAUAUGCUUAAACAUCACACAAUUGAAGGUUUUUUUUCACGAAAAACGAAAACAAAUAAAUAAAAGAAGGACGUAACAUCAUAACAUUUCGAUGAAAGAAACAACAAAAACAUACAACGAAUUUAGUACCACUUUAAAACUAAACAACAAAUACAAAACAACAUUCUAAACCCCUAACGAUAUACGUGCAAUUACUAAUAAAUACCGAAUAUCAAAAACAACUUGACUCCGACUUAACACAGACACCACCCUACAAUGACAGAAACAUAAAAGACUCAAAACUACAUAAAGAUAAGAAAUGCUCUUUCAAACUGGUGCUCUGUGUGACGUCCCCGACUGAGAUGACCCCGUCUGUGAAGUCCUCUCUUUUCCACUCAGACUUUGCAACAUAUCCUGCAAUGACGUUUUGAUACCCGGGAACAAAAUUUUUGCCCGUAUCCCCGCCUCUUGGAGAUUACACCCACAAAGGUUUUUCUGACACCCAUCCACAGUUAUGAUCGAACGUGACAUCUGAACUCUUAAAAACUCCACCAUGGUACCAGAUCUUCCUGCUCAUCAUCCUCUAACAUGAUUGCUUCCCGUAUUCACCCUCUAAGUUGGGCUGGUAAGGGUCUACUAAUGCCACAGGGUAGAGAUUGUAGCCAGGUUUCAUAGUUUUGAGUGUAUCCUAGAUUUUCCUCGAGAGUAUCGACACCUAGCUUUAUUGCGUUAUUCCAGAAUUGCUCAUAUUUUCUUUACCCCACGGCUUGGUUUUUAAAGUACUCUACAUCCUUUAGAAGGUCCAUUAUUGAGGGGACAUCUUGCAUCCUACCCAACUGGCGCAUCACCCUUCUUGGACUGUAAGGCCUAGUAUAGUUAAGUCCUAUCAAAACUAGAAAGAGUUGCAUUUAAGAUCCAAUCAAGAUUUUCUUAGGACGAAACCACAUAUAGCACCAAAGAAUGUUGUCCGGAGUUCUUGAUUUGAGAAAUUCGAUCUAGGAAUUGACUCCCAUAGGAAAAGAAAAUUUGUCAAAAUGCAUUCUCCCUUGCAUGGGUUGCACUCGAUCAUUUAGACAACGGUCAAUCACACCUGGUUUAAUAAAAUAAGGCGUAUGCAAGUGCUCCAUCAUCCAUAACUGCAAUAUCAGAUUACUCCCCUAAAAAAAUCAUACCCCUCCUUAUACUUCAGUUAAAGCCUUAUAUAUUUCUGUUAAGAUCAUUGGUACAAUGGUGACCUCAUCUUUUUUCUUGAAUAAAGCUAUCACCAUUGAUUGUAGACGAGUAUUGAUACACCUCUCAUCUAACGGGAACACUAAGAUACCCAACAAAGCUAGAAAGAAAACCUCAAGACGACGUUGUUCCCAUAUUUUUUUGGUAGUACAGAAUUCAUCCCAAAAGUAGUCGAAACCCUCUAAGGACCCAAAUCUAGCAAACAAAGAGUCCAAGGAAAUCUAAGAUUGUUUGAGACAUCCAGAUGCUUGUUAUCUUUUAAUCCACAGAGUCGAAGGAAUUUUUUACGAGUAUGAUUGCAGGCUAAAAUCAUCUGUUGACCCAUAUAAGUCAACCGAAACAAAUGAGACACUUCUGCCAGGGUAGGAGUCAAUUCACAACUUCCAUACCUAAAAACCAAAUUAUUUGGAUCCCAAAAAGUCAACGCAGCUUCUAUUAGAUCCGAAUGAGGCGUGAGAUCCAUGAGUGCUACAAGAUUGCCUAACACUUUCCUCACUUCGUGCUUUUCAGAGUAAUUGAACGUGCCCCAUCACUUGAUCAACUUUUUGGGAACCUUGACAACCAUAAGGACUCUAGACUUUGUGGACAGAUCCAUCUUGUAGUAACAGAUAAGAAAUUAUCUCAAAAAUUUGAUAAGAGCAAAAGGUUCCCAACCAAUGGGAAUUUGAUACGGACAUACGUCAAUGGGACAGACCGCUUCAUGACUCCAAAUCGCCGAACAGUAACACUGAAUAAAAUCAGCCUACUUAGCUAAUAACUCUAGGUUACGGGGUAAAAGACCUAGCCUAAGACUAAGACGAAGGCCAAAAUAAAGAUUACCGAACCCACCGAGGGUUGCCUACGUAUUCCACCCCAAGGGACGGGAAUCAGGUAUGCGUAGUUCAUCCAAAUUGGACAAAUAAAGAUUAACUAAUAGACUGACCCCUAACUUAAGAGACACAACCAAAGACCGAUGAAUAAAAAAAAAUUGGGGGUUUUAAUUUGACACCAACUAUGAAAGAAAAAUCUUUUUUGAAAAUUUUGAAUUAUGAAUGCGUGGUAAAGGAAUAAAAGGAAUUUUUUUUUGAUAUUUUCGUUAUAUGAAAUGUACAAAACUUCUACCAUUUUUUUUUUUUUUUGCAUUUUCCUUUAUAAAACCUCCUAUUGUAAAAAAAAAUCUUUUUUUUGAAAAUUUUGAAUUGUGAAAAACAAAACCCAUAAAGAACUCUAAAAACUAGAAAACUCUUUUUGGGAAUUUUUUUUCACACACUUUACUUCUAACACAUGCUUUACCCCACAUCAGUCUGUCAAAUGACCACGUUACCCUCAAAGAUGCAACAUUUAGCACAUAGGAAUGCUUUAGAGUUAAGUCUCCUACAAAGGACCAAGUGGGUCCCGCUAGGUCUCGAUAUGAUGCACAUAAGCAUGAUCUAAAGGCUGGCCUACGCUGGGGUUCACUAACAAGGCCGUUCGGGGGAGCAUAUGGUUAAUAGUGGUUGUUUAGCUUUCUACCUACUCCAUGCAUCCAACGGAUCCCCCCCAAAAUAAAGGUGACUCAACUAGAGUUCGUGCGCACGACGUGCACUCCGAGACUUGUUGCAAAAAGAAUGACUCGGGUUAUGCACAUGAUGUCAGAUAUAAAAGCGGUAAAACAUAGGAUAAAUACUGUAAACAAAGAGCACGAAAACGCACAAAAAUGAAAACACAAACAAAAAUCACAAACAAUGCUUAUACACUCAUAAUGCUAAACAAAGCCCAUACGACUCCAAAAAAAGCUCGACUUCUGAAAGUGUUCCCAGCAGAGUCGCCAGAGCUACCACACCCCCUUUUUCAUACUCCAGAAAAAAUUAAUUCUAAAGUUUCAAAAGGAUUUUUAUUGUUAAAGAGACAAAAGUGAAGAUUUGUUUCGAAAAGGACUUUUUAUAUUCAAAACUCAGAGUCGCCACUUGGCAUAAUUCGGUGUGCCAAGUCACCUUUGGACAAUCCUUUUCAAAAUACUUUGACUUUUUAAAACUGGUUUGCGAACAGAGAUUCCAGCUAAGGAAUUCUAUUGACCGAGGGAAAGGUGUUAGGCAUCCCUCAAUCCUGUGGGUUGACCACGAUCGCUUGGUGGAGCAUAUCGACUGAUUUGACACUAAAAACGUAUAAACCACACAAAAACACACAAAACAAUCAAACAAACAAAAAUAAAACAAUCCAAAAAUAUAGUGUCCAGUCCGAAUUAUACAGUCCCAAAAAUAUAAAAAUAUGAAAAUGUAACUCCUAUUCUAAACUAAUUCUAAACUAUGCUCCAAUACCUUACCCAAUACCUCGGGCCUUGAUCACGAACAUCCUCUGAGUACAAAAUACUUUGGGACAUUCCCCGGUGAAUAAAUACAAAUACCUCGGGGUAUUUCCCGGCCAAAUGAUACACUUGAUCCAAAUAAGAUAACAAAAAAAGUUUAAAACACACAUUUAAACAUUCAAAGCA